CAGCAGCCGCGGGAAUACGGAGGGUGCAAGCGUUAAUCGGAAUUACUGGGCGUAAAGCGCACGCAGGCGGUUUGUUAAGUCAGAUGUGAAAUCCCCGAGCUUAACUUGGGAACUGCAUUUGAAACUGGCAAGCUAGAGUCUUGUAGAGGGGGGUAGAAUUCCAGGUGUAGCGGUGAAAUGCGUAGAGAUCUGGAGGAAUACCGGUGGCGAAGGCGGCCCCCUGGACAAAGACUGACGCUCAGGUGCGAAAGCGUGGGGAGCAAACAGGAUUAGAUACCCCGGUAGUCCCUGUCUCUUAUAA
Molecule: ribosomal RNA, 301 nt
Filed under: uncultured bacterium
Lineage: Bacteria
Description: partial 16S ribosomal RNA
Rfam family: Bacterial small subunit ribosomal RNA
Source: RNAcentral